CCUACGGGAGGCAGCAGUGGGGAAUAUUGGACAAUGGGCGAAAGCCUGAUCCAGCCAUGCCGCGUGUGUGAAGAAGGCCUUCGGGUGGUAAAGCACUUUCAGUGGGGAAGAAAGCCUUGGGGCUAAUACCCUCGAGGAAGGACAUCACCCACAGAAGAAGCACCGGCUAACUCCGUGCCAGCAGCCGCGGUAAUACGGAGGGUGCGAGCGUUAAUCGGAAUUACUGGGCGUAAAGCGCGCGUAGGCGGUCUGAUAAGCCGGUUGUGAAAGCCCCGGGCUCAACCUGGGAACGGCAUCCGGAACUGUCAGGCUAGAGUGCAGGAGAGGAAGGUAGAAUUCCCGGUGUAGCGGUGAAAUGCGUAGAGAUCGGGAGGAAUACCAGUGGCGAAGGCGGCCUUCUGGACUGACACUGACGCUGAGGUGCGAAAGCGUAGGUAGCAAACAGGAUUAGAUACCCCUGUAGUC
Molecule: ribosomal RNA, 465 nt
Filed under: Vreelandella stevensii
Lineage: Bacteria; Pseudomonadati; Pseudomonadota; Gammaproteobacteria; Oceanospirillales; Halomonadaceae
Description: partial 16S ribosomal RNA
Rfam family: Bacterial small subunit ribosomal RNA
Source: RNAcentral